Molecule: long non-coding RNA, 284 nt
Organism: Tachyglossus aculeatus (Australian echidna)
Lineage: Eukaryota; Metazoa; Chordata; Mammalia; Monotremata; Tachyglossidae
Exons: 3
Source: RefSeq, a predicted model, not a curated record
UGAACAAGCUUGAAGCUGCAUCUGUUACCUGCUUUGGGGUUAUUUAAAGAGGAUUAAGGGUCAUAACCCUGGCUGAAAGUUGAAAGCAGGAUGAAGUGAUGCAGGAGAAAGUCCGAAGCUGUUACUGUGUGUUCCCAUCUAUUGACAGCUGCUGACAGUGACAACUUACCUCCAGCUAAGUGGGAAGAUGAGCAGCUGUUUGUAGAACCAAAGCCAGUCUUCUGCCUGGGUCUCUUCUGCCUGGAUCAUUUGGCUAUGCCAUCUGUGAAAGAGGUGCUGUGUGC